This is a long non-coding RNA of Rhagoletis pomonella (apple maggot), 794 nucleotides long. RefSeq lists it as uncharacterized. The transcript is spliced from 2 exons. Lineage: Eukaryota; Metazoa; Arthropoda; Insecta; Diptera; Tephritidae. The record is from RefSeq and is a predicted model, not a curated record.
CCUUCUUGUGUGUGCACCUUACUGUCAGUACACCAGGCGAAAGGGCAGUCGCUUUUAAAUUACGCUGCGCCAAUAUGGACACCAGCCACUAGUAGGUCAAGACUAUAGUCCUACCAGAACGAUAAAUUACGAACAAUUUGUGGCAUGCCUCCUCGGGACAGGGAAACCAGAAAUCAGCGGCGGUAUAUCAAAUGUGUGUCUUACAUGUGGAGAGGGACUCGCGAUAUAAAAGACAUUUUCACAUGGUUCUAGAACUACAGUCAGAUGAGCCAUUGAAAACUUCGCCGACCUCUUACAGGGUUGGAAUAACGCAGACGCAAAACAACAGCAUGCGUGACGUUUUACGUUCAAUCCCAAUUGACUCGUGGAAACCCUACUGACGACCAUCAGUGUGUUAACUUCCAAACACGAAAUGUCAUUUUUGGCACACACUGCAGCGAUAAUAAACAAAGCCGCAGUUAUAAUUAGCUUGCCAUUUGCCGGCAUCACUUGAAAUACGUACAUAUGUACACGAAGCUUCCUGCCAUGCAAAAAUGCUGUUUUUCAUAGCCUCAUUUACAUUAGUCAGAUACUUUUAUUGAAACCAAUUAGCGUAUUGGCAAAAGUCACAAUAUAACUGUGGCAUAGGCCAUGUUGGCUCCUAAAAUUCAAAUCCAAGUUUAUUUUAGUAAGUGAAUAAUAUAAUAAUGUACGUAUAAAUUUCAUAUUCGUUUAUUCGGAACUACACUGCAAUUAUACACGCAUUUUUAAUAUUGCAGUUAUUGCAUAUUCACAUUAUUAAAUUAAGUGUAAUU